GUGAGGAAUAUUGGUCAAUGGGCGGGAGCCUGAACCAGCCAAGUCGCGUGAAGGAAGAAGGAUCUAUGGUUCGUAAACUUCUUUUGCAGGGGAAUAAAGUGCAGGACGUGUCCUGUUUUGUAUGUACCCUGAGAAUAAGGAUCGGCUAACUCCGUGCCAGCAGCCGCGGUAAUACGGAGGAUCCGAGCGUUAUCCGGAUUUAUUGGGUUUAAAGGGUGCGUAGGUGGAUUGAUAAGUCAGCGGUGAAAGUUUGCAGCUUAACUGUAAAAUUGCCGUUGAAACUGUCGGUCUUGAGUGCAAAUGAGGUAGGCGGAAUGUGUUGUGUAGCGGUGAAAUGCUUAGAUAUUACACAGAACACCGAUUGCGAAGGCAGCUUACUAAUCCAUCAUUGACGCUGAGGCACGAAAGCGUGGGGAUCAAACAGGAUUAGAAACCCGUGUAGUCC
This 445-nucleotide ribosomal RNA is filed under the name uncultured bacterium. Its description in RNAcentral is "partial 16S ribosomal RNA". It matches the Rfam family "Bacterial small subunit ribosomal RNA", at positions 354 to 796 of the family's 1533-position model. The record is from RNAcentral.